AGAGACACUCUGCAACUCAGUCACUGAGGCUUUACAUUGACUACAGCUGCAAAUGGAAACAUUUAAAAUCUUCCUUUUGACAGUGGUCGUCUGUGUGCAAGUAACAUCUCAAGAAAGCAGUGAACACCCUAAGAUUUAUAUCCCUAAGCCCAAGAUAACUCGGAAUCCAACUCACAAGGUGCUGUACAGCACAGAGGUGGUCACUCUGCACUGUGUGGUCCCUGGAGGAGCAUCUGAGUUACAAUAUGACUGGUACAUGGACUCUGCUAAUCUUGAACCUCACCAUUGGUCCAGCAUCGAUGUGAAAGAUGGCGGAAAUUAUAAAUGCAAGGCAAAAAAUGGAGCUUCUGAGUCUGAAAAAAGUGAUGGGUACACUUUAACUCUACAAGAACCACCUGAACCAAAACUGUCAAUAGAGUCUGAAUGGAAGACAUUUUACCCAACUGAAAAAGUGACUCUGAAGUGUUCAUUUGAUGAAGAUUUAAAUGAAUGGGGUUAUGAAUGGUUUAAAAGCAGAGCUCAGCUUUCAGGUUAUGAGGACAUUUCCUUUUCUGGAGACACACUCUCAAUCAGCUCAGCAAAAGCGAGUCAUUCAGGACAGUAUACCUGCAGAGGAAAACAUCUGAAGAGAACAACAGUGACAACAAGACAAACAGAAGCUUUGAAACUACUUAUUUAUGAUAACACACCAAAACCAAACAUCACAAAACAUCAGUGGUUUGAGUUCUUCUACACUGAGGAAGAAGUCCAGCUUGGUUGUAACAUGCCUGGUGAUGGUUGGGAGUACGACUGGUAUAAAGACUCAAAAAAGUUGAUCACAGAUCCAACCUUCACUAUCAGCUCAGCGUCUCUCUCUAACACUGGUGUCUAUCAAUGCAAAGCAAAAAGAGGAGACUUCUCAGUGGACAGUGAGACUCUACAAGUGCAAGUUAAAUACCCACCUCAACCAAAACUGUCAAUAGAGUCUGAAUGGAAAACAUUUUACCCAACUGAAAAAGUAACUCUGAAGUGUUCAAUUGAUGGAGGUUCAAAUGAAUGGGGCUAUGAAUGGUUUAGAAAUAGAGCUCAGCUUUCAGGUGAUGAGGACAUUUCCUUUUCUGGAGAGACACUCUCAAUCAUCUCAGCAAAAGCGAGUCAUUCAGGAAAUUAUACCUGCAGAGGAAAACAUCUAAAGAGAACACCAGUGACUACAAGACAAACAGAUGCUUUGCAACUUCAUAUUUAUGUUGACACACCCAAACCAGACAUCAGAAAAGAUCAGUGGUUUGAGUUCUUCUACACUGAGGAGGAAGUCCAGCUUGGUUGUAACAUGCCUGGUGAUGAAUGGAAGUAUGACUGGUAUAAAGACUCAGAAACCUUGAUCACAGAUCCAACCUUCACUAUCAGCUCUGCAUCUCUCUCUGACACUGGUGUCUAUCACUGCAAUGCAAAGAGAGAAGACUUCUCAGUGGACAGUGAGAUUCUACAAGUGCGAGUUGAAGAGCCGCCUCAACCAAAACUGUCAAUAGAGACUCAAUGGAAAACAUUUUACCCAAGUGAAAAAGUGACUCUGAAGUGUUCAAUUGGUGGAGGUUCAAAUGAAUGGGGAUAUGAAUGGUUUAAAAACGGAGCCCGGCUUUCAAUUGAUGAGGACAUUUCCUUUUCUGGGGACACACUCUCAAUCAGCUCAGCAAAACUGAGUCAUUCAGGACAGUAUACCUGCAGAGGAAAGCACCUGAAGAGAACUCCAGUGACUACAAGACAAGGAGAAGCUUUGCAACUGGAUAUUUAUGAUAACACACCAAAACCAGACAUCACAAAACAUCGGUGGUUUGAGUUCUUCUACACUGAGGAAGAAGUCCAGCUUGGUUGUAACAUGCCUGCUGAUGGAUGGAAGUAUGACUGGUAUAAAGAUUCAAAACCCCAGAUCACAAAUACAACCUUCACUAUCAGCUCAGCAUCUCUCUCUGACACUGGUGUCUAUCACUGCAAAGCAAAGAGAGGAGACUUCUCAGUGGACAGUGAGACACUACAAGUGCAAGUUAAAUACCCACCUCAACCAAAACUGUCAAUAGAGUCUGAAUGGAAAACAUUUUACCCAACUGAAAAAGUAACUCUGAAGUGUUCAAUUGAUGGAGGUUCAAAUGAAUGGGGCUAUGAAUGGUUUAGAAACGGAGCUCAGCUUUCAGUUGACAAGGACAUUUCCUUUUCUGGAGACACACUCUUAAUCAGCUCAGCAAAAGUGAGUCAUUCAGGACAGUAUACCUGCAGAGGAAAACAUCUGAAGAGAACGCCAGUGACUACAGGACAAACAGAUGCUUUGCAGCUUCAUAUUUAUGUUGACACACCAAAACCAGACAUCAGAAAAGAUAAGUGGUUUGAGUUCUUCUACACUGAGGAGGAAGUCCAACUUGGUUGUAACAUGCCUGGUGAUGGAUGGAAGUAUGACUGGUAUAAAGACUCAGAAACCUCGAUCACAGAUCCAACCUUCACUAUCAGCUCUGCAUCUCUCUCUGACACUGGUGUCUAUCACUGCAAUGCAAAGAGAGGAGACUUCUCAGUGGACAGUGAGACUCUACAAGUGCGAGUUGAAGAGCCGCCUCAACCAAAACUGUCAAUAGAGACCCAAUGGAAAACAUUUUACCCAAGUGAAAAAGUGACUCUAAAGUGUUCAACUGAUGGAGGUUCAAAUGAAUGGGGCUAUGAAUGGUUUAUAAAUGGAGCUCAGCUUUCAGUUGACAAGGACAUUACCUUUUCUGGAGACACACUCACAAUCAGCUCAGCAAAAGUGAGUAAUUCUGGACAGUUUACCUGCAGAGGAAAACAUCUGAAGAGAAUGCCAGUGACUACAAGACAAGCAGAAGCUUUGCAACUUCAUAUUUAUGUUGACACACCAAAACCAGACAUCAGAAAAGAUCCGUGGUUUGAGUUCUUCUACAUUGAGGAGGAAGUCCAGCUUGGUUGUAACAUGCCUGCUGAUGGAUGGAAGUAUGACUGGUAUAAAGACUCAGAAACCUUGAUCACAGAUCCAACCUUCACUAUCAGCUCAGCAUCUCUCUCUAACACUGGUGUAUAUCACUGCAAAGCAAAGAGAGGAGACUUCUCAGUGGACAGUGAGACACUACAAGUGCGAGUCAAAGCGCGUCCACCUGCAGUUCUGAGUCUGGAGACUGAAUUGAGCGACAUCAUGUCUGGGAAUAUCCUGACCCUCAGGUGUAACGUCUCAGACAGCAGACAGUGGAGCUACGCCUGGUUCGAGAACGGACAGAAGCUCAAUGGGUCGUCAGAUCUGUUCAAAGUGACAGCAACUGAAGAAACUAUUAAAAGUGAAUUUAAGUGCAAGGGAAUAAGGACAGAGAGACCACUGUACUCCGCUCUGAGUGAGGGCUUCACGGCCAAUAAUAUUAUAUUAAAAAGAAAAAUUCUGCUGGCCAUCUCAGGAUUUCUCAUCUGCUGUAUUGUAAUCCUGAUUAUCGGAUGCCUUGUUCUAAGAUUCACCUGUAAAUCAGGUACAAACAGAAAAACAAACAAAAAAAAAACAAGCAGUAUCUAUUUACACCAAGCACCAACAACCAUUGCUUCAAAUACUGUAGUACCGUUUCUACUGUAUUUACACUUUCUUUGAAUAGUAUCUAUCAAUGGAUGCAGUGUAAACAGGUAAACACUAUUUACCCUCUGUAGUGUUGUACUUCCCCUUUAAGAAAAGUGGUUUGACUGUGUGCUGUGCUGUCGAGUGCGAGUGAAGCAUGUGAUGUUGAAUGAUAACAAGCAAUCAGUAAAGAGAGACAUCUGUACUUCAUUCAGUUGUUGGUCUGAAGUUAUUACAGCCUCUAGUACAUUUAGUGUAAAUGGCUGCUACCUAAAAAUAUAAAAUUGCUUUUAAACAUGUAAACCUUUGACGUGGAUUCAGCCAUUUUGUGAUUGUUGUCAUACAAUACCAUUUAGAAGUUUGAGUUUUGGCAAGAUUUUUAAAUGUUUUUGAAAGAAGUCUCUUAUGCUCACCAAGACUGCAUUUAUUUAAUCAAGAAUACAGUAAAAACAGUAACAUUUAGCUUCUGUGUUUUUAAUUAUAUUAGUAACAUUUUACAUUUAAUUACUUCUUACAAAACUUUUGUUUCAUAUCUUUAUCUUUAGAGAAAAAAGAAACAGUACAAGAGGACUUGUUUUUCUCAAUGGCAGACCCCAAUAACCAUGAAGACUCACCAGCGGCAGAAGCUAUUGUCCUGACAUCAUUUAAAGGACUCUGAACCAUUAUGUCAGCAAUCAACAUUAUGAAGGAGUUUCUAUAUUUGCACUGAGGCAGCUAAAUAGCAUGCUUAUAUUAAAAAAGUUUGCAUUAGCACGACACUUUGUCUAGUAGCAGCUGCAAUUUUGUAUACUUUUAAAGGCUGAAAACCAGCUUGUUUGCAGCUUGAGAAAAUGUUGAAUUGAACUGCAGUGUUGUGGCAUACUGCCUUAAAUGAAGACAGUGAUUGUAGAGGGAGAUGAAUAACGGACAGAAAGAAAUUAUAAUUAUAAGAAGUAACCAAAGUUAUAUCUGUUAUAUCUGUCUACUUCUGUUUCUUUUGUUACUUGCAAAUACAAAUAUUACAACAUGGCACCAUAGAAAAAAAAAAUUAUUGUAAUACAUCUACUAGAUUAUUUUGUUGUAAUUUAUUUGCAUAUUGAACAAAAGAUUUUUUUUUUCCUUCUGUAUGAGUGCCCCCCUUUAAGAAAAGUAGUUUACACAUAUUUUAUUUGAGAUAUUGUUUUUGUUUGUGUUUUGUGUUUUUUAUGUGUUGUUCUGGAUUAUUUACAUUCAAAUAAACA
Ctenopharyngodon idella (grass carp) is the source of this 4788-nucleotide RNA transcript. It is a transcript of the gene named hemicentin-1-like, with no coding region annotated. Lineage: Eukaryota; Metazoa; Chordata; Actinopteri; Cypriniformes; Xenocyprididae. The record is from RefSeq and is a predicted model, not a curated record. The transcript is spliced from 17 exons.